RNAcentral lists this ribosomal RNA (588 nucleotides) under Methylorubrum extorquens. RNAcentral describes it as "bacterial SSU rRNA". It matches the Rfam family "Bacterial small subunit ribosomal RNA", at positions 82 to 703 of the family's 1533-position model. The record is from RNAcentral. Lineage: Bacteria; Pseudomonadati; Pseudomonadota; Alphaproteobacteria; Hyphomicrobiales; Methylobacteriaceae.
ACUUCGGGUGUCAGUGGCAGACGGGUGAGUAACACGUGGGAACGUACCCUUCGGUUCGGAAUAACUCAGGGAAACUUGAGCUAAUACCGGAUACGCCCUUUUGGGGAAAGGUUUACUGCCGAAGGAUCGGCCCGCGUCUGAUUAGCUUGUUGGUGGGGUAACGGCCUACCAAGGCGACGAUCAGUAGCUGGUCUGAGAGGAUGAUCAGCCACACUGGGACUGAGACACGGCCCAUACUCCUACGGGAGGCAGCAGUGGGCAAUAUUGGACAUGGGCGCACGCCUGUAUCCAGCCAUGCCGCGUGAGUUGAUGAAGGCCUUAGGGUUGUAAAGCUCUUUUGUCCGGGUACGAUAAUGACGGUACCGGAAGAAUAAGCCCCGGCUAACUUCGUGCCAGCAGCCGCGGUAAUACGAAGGGGGCUAGCGUUGCUCGGAAUCACUGGGCGUAAAGGGCGCGUAGGCGGCCGAUUAAGUCGGGGGUGAAAGCCUGUGGCUCAACCACAGAAUUGCCUUCGAUACUGGUUGGCUUGAGACCGGAAGAGGACAGCGGAACUGCGAGUGUAGAGGUGAAAUUCGUAGAUAUUCGCAA